This 184-nucleotide unclassified non-coding RNA is filed under the name uncultured Penicillium. Its description in RNAcentral is "sequence contains ITS1". Lineage: Eukaryota; Fungi; Ascomycota; Eurotiomycetes; Eurotiales; Aspergillaceae. The record is from RNAcentral.
CCGAGUGAGGGCCCUCUGGGUCCAACCUCCCACCCGUGUUUACCGUACCCUGUUGCUUCGGCGGGCCCGCCCUCAGCGGCCGCCGGGAUGGCCCCUUGCGCCUCCGGGCCCGCGCCUGUCGAUGGCCCUAUUAAAACUCUUGUCAAAACGUGUCGUCUGAGUUUAUCUAAACAAAUAAAAACCA